Molecule: small RNA, 71 nt
Filed under: Salmonella enterica
Lineage: Bacteria; Pseudomonadati; Pseudomonadota; Gammaproteobacteria; Enterobacterales; Enterobacteriaceae
Also listed under: 1 other name
Description: partial RtT sRNA
Rfam family: RtT RNA
About the family: This family represents a bacterial cis-regulatory element known as RtT RNA. The exact function of RtT is unknown although it is thought that it may be involved in changing the cellular response in relation to amino acid starvation.
Source: RNAcentral
AUAUCUCUCUGUACGGGAAGGAUGAGAAGCUUCGACCAAGGUUCGAUUCGAGCGCAGCGAGAAAGCGUUGC